GAACGCGAAGAACCUUACCCGGGCUUGAACUAAGAGUGACAGAUUUAGAGAUAGAUCAUUCUUCGGACACUCUUGGAGGUGCUGCAUGGUUGUCGUCAGCUCGUGCCGUGAGGUGUCGGCUUAAGUGCCAUAACGAGCGCAACCCUUUUCCUUGGUUGCCAUCAGGUAAUGCUGGGCACUCCAGGGAUACUGCCAUCGUAAGAUGUGAGGAAGGUGGGGAUGACGUCAAAUCAGCACGGCCCUUACGUCCGGGGCUACACACGUGUUACAAUGGGGGGUACAGAAGGUCGCUACCUGGUGACAGGAUGCUAAUCUCAAAAACCUCUCUCAGUUCGGAUUGGAGUCUGCAACCCGACUCCAUGAAGCUGGAUUCGCUAGUAAUCGCGCAUCAGCCAUGGCGCGGUGAAUACGUUCCCGGGUCUUGUACACACC
Molecule: ribosomal RNA, 432 nt
Filed under: uncultured bacterium
Lineage: Bacteria
Description: bacterial SSU rRNA
Rfam family: Bacterial small subunit ribosomal RNA
Source: RNAcentral